GGACAUGUAGCACAGUGGUUGAGUGCAUAGGCUCAGAAGUCUGACUGUUCUGGGUUCUAGUCCCAGCUCUACCA
This 74-nucleotide transfer RNA is filed under the name Equus asinus (donkey). It matches the Rfam family "tRNA". Rfam says of the family: Transfer RNA (tRNA) molecules are approximately 80 nucleotides in length. Lineage: Eukaryota; Metazoa; Chordata; Mammalia; Perissodactyla; Equidae. The record is from Rfam by way of RNAcentral. RNAcentral also lists the same sequence under 1 other name.